Molecule: non-coding RNA, 775 nt
Organism: Macaca mulatta (Rhesus monkey)
Lineage: Eukaryota; Metazoa; Chordata; Mammalia; Primates; Cercopithecidae
Source: RefSeq, a predicted model, not a curated record
UAUUACCAAGCUGGUUGCAUCGUGGUGACUGAGAGUUAACAUGUAGCCAGGCGUGUGCAGUGUGAUCCCCUGCACACUUAUUGGUGCCUAUGCUGUGUUAGGUGUAGAUAGGUGAGCGUGUACAGAUUCUGCUUGAAACUCACCUGCUUCAGCAUGUGCCACGAGGAAAGUCUCAUCACUCCCAUUUCACAGAUGUAGGAUCCAAGACUCUGAGAGCUCCCACUCAGUGCCUGGCACUGGAAAGGCAGCAGUGAACAAGACAAGGUUUCCACUCUCAUGGAGACAACCAACAAGCAAACCAAUGAACAGGUCAUUUCAUGUCAUGGACAUCAAGGGCUCUGGACCUUGUGAAAGUUUCCCUUUGAGUUAUGACGGGAAUCCAGAACAACACUCUGUGGACCCCCUCUGUGGGUAGCAGGGAAAGCGAGUAGACUUGUUUUCUAAAACUCCCAAAGACGGACUCCAUAGACAGCGUCACAGGGAAACCAAUGUCAGCUCCAAAUUAAGAAGAAUCUCCUAGUUAUUCAAAGCUAUGAAGGUGGCAGGAGGAAGAGAGCUUGGAACCACGGGGACCCUGCUUGGGAGGGACUGUUCCUUCUGGACUUUCUGCCUCCGAAAAUCUACUUCCAUCUCAGCUCCAGCUCAGCUUCAGGAAGUACGGGACGGAAAUUAAAGGAGAAAAUGGUUCCACAGGUUUGGUGGCUACAAAAAGAUUUCCUUGAUAAACACUGCCCCCAAUCACUUAUCUGUGAAAGCUGCAUGAUGUGAAAUUAAA